Molecule: long non-coding RNA, 1856 nt
Organism: Haemorhous mexicanus (house finch)
Lineage: Eukaryota; Metazoa; Chordata; Aves; Passeriformes; Fringillidae
Exons: 6
Source: RefSeq, a predicted model, not a curated record
GAGCAGCCCUUGGGCGUGGAGGGGGCAGUGGCGCCAUUUUGUUUGCCGUGUGGGCCGGGGAACCUGAGGCGGAGUGCCGGGGGAAGGAGCCUUGGAGCGGGGCCCGGGCAGGGUCUGUCCGGCGGGAAGAAGAACCAGAUGCAUUCAGAAAUCCUGUGUACAAGCUGAUGCUGCACUACACCUCAUGAACUGCAAAGCAGCAUAAGGCAGCUGGAGCUUCUAGAUCCUGGUUAGAGCAUUUUGUGUAUGAGCGAAAAGUCUUCUUGGAUAAUUAAGACUGUGUCUAAAAUCACAGUUACAGUAUGCUGAUCUAUAAGGAAACUCAGAGAGAAGAUUUAAAAGGAUUUGGAAUGGAAGAUCACUAGACUCUAUAGUGAUGCCAUCUCCAUCAUGCCACUCACAAGAGCACCAAAGAUACUUCCAGUUCUUCAUUUGCUAAAGAAACUUCCUCAGCCUUUGCAUUCUCCACCAGACAACACACCCUGUCCUCCCACCAGCAUCAAGCAACCAAUCUCUGAACAGCAAAACAGGAUCAACAUCUUGGGAAGCAGCACACUUGCCAGGAGCCCCAGGAAGCCCCUCAGGCAGGAGCUGCACUUGGGAAGCCACAGCCUGUCGGGGUAGGAGAGCACACGGUUCCGGAUGCAGAGGCAGGAUGAAAAGCAGCAUUAGAAACCAGCUGCCACAGACUGGGGGUGUUCUCCUCAGGUGGGCAGAGAGAUAGAAACCCUUUCAUCCCUCAGUCCAGGUUAGAGUGUAAAUGUUUUUAUUGCCUGCUUAGCCACCUGUGGAAAUCUGUGUCCAUGUCAACACCGUCAUUAUAUUGAACUCUGCUCUUGUCAGCACAAAAAUCCUGCCUGCUUUUCAGUCCAGAACUAUACUUCUAGUGAUAUAAGAAUGUCAGAUUAUAAUGCCAUCAAUUUGUCUUAUUCCACAGCUAAACAGAAUUCAUCGCUGUUACCUGAUGCUUCUGUGUUAGUGAAAAUAAUCCUUUUUUUAAAAAAAAAGUACAUAAAUACUUUGUGCACCAAAAGAGCACUUGGUACUGCUGGUUUAUGAGGUCUUCACUUUGCACAGCUCCUCUGUUGUGGAAACAGAAGUCCUUGUAUUGGGCUUUCUCAGUGAUAUUUGCAAACUCCUACACUUGCUGUAACAGGGUGUUCAGAAACAGUUCUUACUGGCCUGAGAAAGUUAGCUCAUUGUUUAUUUACUGCAGAAAUACAUUGAAGAAAACAAUAACAAGGUAAAAGAACAUUCUUGCAAAGGCUUGUUGCUUGUUUUGACAUAAACAGAAAGUAAUUAAACCUAGCUAACACCUUUUCACUGAGCAUUUUGCUCCAAAGCAUUUAUAAUUCACACUCUGCAGGACCGGGAACAGAACAGCAGAACCACCAGUGCAACACUGUCAGCAUAAGGAAAGGCUGUCCCUGAAAUUCAGUGGACAAAUACUAGCAGGCAAUUUCAUGCUUUACCAACACAAAAUCCAGAAGUUAAAUUUAGAAACAUGAUUUCUGCAGACAUUCAGAUGUUUCUGGUCUAAAUUUUCCAGAAAUUGCAAAUUAAAACUUGGCAGACCUUAAAGUAACCCAGCACGUGUCUUGUGCAAUCCAAAUCAUGGUUGGUCCUAUUACUCUGCAAAACUGUUAGGGGAAAAAAAUCAUGCCUUUCACCACAUGGUUUCAGACAAAUGACAGAGACAUUCAGUUUAUCUCUGUGCUAAGAACAAAACUUAAGUAACUGUUUUUUCCUCUUGGAAUAUUGCCAUGGGAAUUAAAAGCUAACAGAGGAACCAACGUUCUGCCCACUGAAGGAUAAGCACAGUUUGGUGAAUAAAUAACAUCACUUACAGAACUGCA